CAACGAUGGUUGCCAAUGUUCGUUUUUUUAGGGGCUGUUCCUGUUCUAUGUUCUGUUGGCCUUUUUCAUGUUUGUGUGCCUGAUGAUGGCCGCUGGCGCGGCCGAGGGCGUUUGUGUGUAAUGGUGGGGAGUGUGUUUUAUGGAUGCUGCUGUGUGGUGCUGGAAUUACGUUUCUUAGUCUUAUUCUUACGUUUAUCCGCUUCUAUCUGUAUAGCUUCGUGCGUGUAUGGCUGAGUUGGCACCAGGUUGGGUUUUAGAAUUCUCGCUCGGUUCCAUUUCACUUCAAUGUCAUUAGCGUAUACCUCCUGUGAUAGUGCUGUCAUUAAUUUGCCUGUUUUUAAAUCAUUUUGAUGAUCAUUCAACCUCUGGGCUGAAGUUCUUUUUGUGACACCUAUGUAAGAAACAUUUUUCCUAUCUGCUGGAUAU
RNAcentral lists this long non-coding RNA (426 nucleotides) under Androctonus crassicauda. Lineage: Eukaryota; Metazoa; Arthropoda; Arachnida; Scorpiones; Buthidae. The record is from RNAcentral.